This 253-nucleotide ribosomal RNA is filed under the name uncultured bacterium. RNAcentral describes it as "partial 16S ribosomal RNA". It matches the Rfam family "Bacterial small subunit ribosomal RNA", at positions 524 to 776 of the family's 1533-position model. The record is from RNAcentral.
UACGUAGGUGGCAAGCGUUGGCCGGAUUUACUGGGCGUAAAGGGCGCGUAGGCGGUUCGUUAAGUCCUGUGUGAAAUCCCCCGGCUCAACUGGGGAACUGCACAGGAAACUAGCGGGCUUGAGUUCGGGAGAGGGAAGCGGAAUUCCGGGUGUAGCGGUGAAAUGCGUAGAUAUCCGGAGGAACACCGGUGGCGAAGGCGGCUUCCUGGACCGACACUGACGCUGAGGCGCGAAAGCUAGGGGAGCAAACGGG